Molecule: ribosomal RNA, 301 nt
Filed under: uncultured bacterium
Lineage: Bacteria
Description: partial 16S ribosomal RNA
Rfam family: Bacterial small subunit ribosomal RNA
Source: RNAcentral
CAGUCGCCGCGGGAAAACGAAGGGUGCAAGCGUUACUCGGAAUUACUGGGCGUAAAGCGUGCGUAGGUGGUGGUUUAAGUCCGUUGUGAAAGCCCUGGGCUCAACCUGGGAAUUGCAGUGGAUACUGGGUCACUAGAGUGUGGUAGAGGAUAGUGGAAUUUCCGGUGUAGCAGUGAAAUGCGUAGAGAUCGGAAGGAACAUCUGUGGCGAAGGCGACUAUCUGGGCCAACACUGACACUGAGGCACGAAAGCGUGGGGAGCAAACAGGAUUAGAUACCCCCGUAGUCCCUGUCUCUUAUAC